This 512-nucleotide ribosomal RNA is filed under the name uncultured bacterium. Its description in RNAcentral is "partial 16S ribosomal RNA". It matches the Rfam family "Bacterial small subunit ribosomal RNA", at positions 28 to 507 of the family's 1533-position model. The record is from RNAcentral.
GAUGAACGCUGGCGGCGUGCCUAAUACAUGCAAGUCGAACGAAACUUCUUUAUCACCGAGUGCUUGCACUCACCGAUAAAGAGUUGAGUGACGAACGGGUGAGUAACACGUGGGCAACCUGCCCAAAAGAGGGGGAUAACACUUGGAAACAGGUGCUAAUACCGCAUAACCAUAGUUACCGCAUGGUAACUAUGUAAAAGGUGGCUAUACUACCGCUUUUGGAUGGGCCCGCGGCGCAUUAGCUAGUUGGUAGGGUAAAGGCUUACCAAGGCAAUGAUGCGUAGCCGAAUUGAGAGGUUGAUCGGCCACAUUGGGACUGAGACACGGCCCAAACUCCUACGGGAGGCAGCAGUAGGGAAUCUUCCACAAUGGGCGAAAGCCUGAUGGAGCAACGCCGCGUGGGUGAAGAAGGUCUUCGGAUCGUAAAACCCUGUUGUUAGAGAAGAAAGUGCGUGAGAGUAACUGUUCACGUUUCGACGGUAUCUAACCGGAAAGCCACGGCUAACUACGUG